This 532-nucleotide ribosomal RNA is filed under the name Rotifera environmental sample. RNAcentral describes it as "SSU rRNA". It matches the Rfam family "Eukaryotic small subunit ribosomal RNA", at positions 22 to 549 of the family's 1831-position model. The record is from RNAcentral. Lineage: Eukaryota; Metazoa; Rotifera.
GAGUCAUAUGCCUGUCUCAAAGAUUAAGCCAUGCAUGUCUAAGUACAUACUUUUGCACGGUGAAACCGCGAAUGGCUCAUUAAAUCAGUUAUGGUUUCUUAGAUCGUUUCUUUUACAUGGAUAACUGUGGUAAUUCUAGAGCUAAUACAUGCAAAAAGCUCCGACCGUAUGGGAAGAGCGCUUUUAUUAGACCAAAACCAAUGGGGUCGCAAGAUCCCUUUGUUUGGUGACUCUGGAUAACUUUGUGCUGAUCGCAUGGCCUAGAGCCGGCGACGUAUCUUUCAAGUGUCUGCCCUAUCAACUUUCGAUGGUAAGCGAUUUGCCUACCAUGGUUGUAACGGGUAACGGGGAAUCAGGGUUCGAUUCCGGAGAGGGAGCAUGAGAAAUGGCUACCACAUCUACGGAAGGCAGCAGGCGCGCAAAUUACCCACUCCUAGAACGGGGAGGUAGUGACGAAAAAUAACAAUACCGGACUCAAAGAGGCUCGGUAAUUGAAAUGAGUACAGUUUAAAACCCUUAACGAGGAUCUAUU